UCUGUGAUAUACGUGUGUGUGUAUGUGUAUAUAUAUAUAGCAUAUGUGUAUACACACACACACACACACACACACACACACACAUAU
Molecule: microRNA precursor, 87 nt
Filed under: Pan troglodytes (chimpanzee)
Lineage: Eukaryota; Metazoa; Chordata; Mammalia; Primates; Hominidae
Description: miRNA
Source: RNAcentral